RNAcentral lists this ribosomal RNA (500 nucleotides) under uncultured bacterium. RNAcentral's name for it is "partial 16S ribosomal RNA". It matches the Rfam family "Bacterial small subunit ribosomal RNA", at positions 30 to 523 of the family's 1533-position model. The record is from RNAcentral.
AUUGAACGCUGGCGGAAUGCUUUACACAUGCAAGUCGAACGGCAGCACGGACUUCGGUCUGGUGGCGAGUGGCGAACGGGUGAGUAAUGUAUCGGAACGUGCCCAGUCGUGGGGGAUAACGUAGUGAAAAUUACGCUAAUACCGCAUACGAUCUAUGGAUGAAAGCGGGGGAUCGCAAGACCUCGCGCGAUUGGAGCGGCCAAUAUCAGAUUAGGUAGUUGGGGGGGUAAAGGCCCACCAAGCCAACGAUCUGUAGCUGGUCUGAGAGGACGACCAGGCACACUGGAACUGAGACACGGUCCAGACUCCUACGGGAGGCAGCAGUGGGGAAUUUUGGACAAUGGGCGAAAGCCUGAUCCAGCCAUUCCGCGUGCAGGAUGAAGGCCCUCGGGUUGUAAACUGCUUUUGUACAGAACGAAAAGGUUUCUACUAAUACUAGGAGCUCAUGACGGUACUGUAAGAAUAAGCACCGGCUAACUACGUGCCAGCCGCCGCGGUAA